UGACUCAAAAUAUUGGUGUAUAAUGAAUUAAAAAAAAUAAAAUACAAACGAAAAUAAUAAUUUAUUACAUUCUAAACUAUAAUAAUAAAUUUAAACACUAUUAAAAAUAAAUAUUACAAAUAAUGCUUAAUUUUAUAAUAUAUAUGUAAUAGGGCCCAAUCGGCCUGGGUCCAAACACAAAAAAAGACAUAGUGCAAACCCCCUUAAAACAGGCCCAAUUAACAACCCAAUACAGUGGCCCAAAAAAAUAAUAAACCUAAUUACAGGCCAAAAAUAAUGGUCCCUAGUCCAACAACUAAAGAAAACCUAAAACCCUAAGCAGCCUUGCAUGUGCGCCGCUCCCACAGCCCCCAACCGCCGCAGGUUUCAGCCUCCAUGCGCACGUCUCGGAGCCUCCACGCGCGCCAAACUCUCCACGAACACCUGAAAAACGGACUCAAGGAGUCCAAAGAGAAAAAAACAGCAAGUAAUAUUGUUUUUUUUCCCUCGAUUUAUUUUCUUUUCGGCCUAUAAAAGGCCCUUUUAAAUCUGUAAAAGGGGAUAAACAGAGAAAGAGACAAAGAAAUCGAAAAGUAAAACUGAGAGUUCAAAGUUUUUUUAAGGUGAAUCGGUUCUUUAUAUGCUUCAUUCUUUUUAUUUUGUUUUUUUUAAAAAAAAAUAAUACAAAAAGGGUGAGGGGUUUACCUUCUAAGCUUCGCCGAUGAAGCCUACGUUCGCCGCGUUCAAAUCGGAGGUCCGGUGGAGGGCUGAGGCUUGAAGCGAAGGCGCGUUGCAGCGGCGACGCGAGGAUGCUAGGGUUUAAACCCUAGCAGAGCACCAGAGAUUUUUUUAUAUAUAUAUUUUUCAUUAUUUUUUUCCCUAUUCG
RNAcentral lists this long non-coding RNA (865 nucleotides) under Gossypium barbadense (sea-island cotton). Its description in RNAcentral is "long non-coding RNA (GBAR_LNC019701)". The record is from RNAcentral. Lineage: Eukaryota; Viridiplantae; Streptophyta; Magnoliopsida; Malvales; Malvaceae.